This 397-nucleotide ribosomal RNA is filed under the name uncultured bacterium. RNAcentral's name for it is "partial 16S ribosomal RNA". It matches the Rfam family "Bacterial small subunit ribosomal RNA", at positions 523 to 918 of the family's 1533-position model. The record is from RNAcentral.
AUACGUAGGGGGCGAGCGUUGUCCGGAAUGAUUGGGCGUAAAGGGCGCGUAGGCGGCCGCUUAAGUCUGGAGUGAAAGUCCUGUUUUCAAGAUGGGAAUUGCUUUGGAUACUGGGGGGCUUGAGUGCAGGAGAGGUUAUCGGAAUUCCCGGUGUAGCGGUGAAAUGCGUAGAGAUCGGGAGGAACACCAGUGGCGAAGGCGGGGAACUGGACUGCAACUGACGCUGAGGCGCGAAAGUGUGGGGAGCAAACAGGAUUAGAUUCCCUGGUAGUCCACACUGUAAACGAUGAAUGCUAGGUGUAAGAGGUAUCGACCCCUUUUGUGCCGGAGUCAACACAAUAAGCAUUCCGCCUGGGGAGUACGGCCGCAAGGUUGAAACUCAAAUGAAUUGACGGGG